AACGAACGCUGGCGGCAGGCUUAACACAUGCAAGUCGAACGCCCCGCAAGGGGAGUGGCGCACGGGUGCGUAACGCGUGGGAACAUGCCCGUAGGUGCGGAACAACGUCGGGAAACUGACGCUAAUACCGCAUAAUAUCUCCGGAACAAAGAUUUAUUGCCUAAGGAUUGGCCCGCGUUAGAUUAGGUAGUUGGUGGGGUAAUGUCCUACCAAGCCGACGAUCUAUAGCUGGUCUGAGAGAAUGAUCAGCAACACUGGAACUGAGACGCGGUCCAGACUCCUACGGGAGGCAGCAGUGAGGAAUAUUGGACAAUGGGGGAAACCCUGAUCCAGCCAUGCCGCGUGAGUGAUGAGGGCCUUAGGGUUGUAAAGCUCUUUUAGAUGGGAAGAUAAUGACUGUACCAUCAGAAUAAGCCCCGGCUAAAUUCGUGCCAGCCGCCGCCGUAA
RNAcentral lists this ribosomal RNA (447 nucleotides) under uncultured bacterium. RNAcentral describes it as "partial 16S ribosomal RNA". It matches the Rfam family "Bacterial small subunit ribosomal RNA", at positions 29 to 523 of the family's 1533-position model. The record is from RNAcentral.